This 107-nucleotide ribosomal RNA is filed under the name Candidatus Kerfeldbacteria bacterium RIFOXYA2_FULL_38_24. Lineage: Bacteria; Candidatus Kerfeldiibacteriota. The record is from RNAcentral. RNAcentral also lists the same sequence under 2 other names.
UUUGGUGGCUCAAGCGGGGGUGAUACACCCGAUCCCAUUCCGAACUCGGAAGUUAAGACCCCAAGCGUUAAUGAUAGCUUUAUAGCGAAAGUAGACCGCUGCCAAUU